RNAcentral lists this ribosomal RNA (401 nucleotides) under uncultured bacterium. RNAcentral's name for it is "bacterial SSU rRNA". It matches the Rfam family "Bacterial small subunit ribosomal RNA", at positions 29 to 455 of the family's 1533-position model. The record is from RNAcentral.
AACGAACGCUGGCGGCAGGCCUAACACAUGCAAGUCGAACGCCGUAGCAAUACGGAGUGGCAGACGGGUGAGUAACACGUGGGAACGUACCCUUCGGUUCGGGAUAACUCAGGGAAACUUGAGCUAAUACCGGAUACGUCCGAGAGGAGAAAGAUUUAUUGCCGAGGGAUCGGCCCGCGUCUGAUUAGCUUGUUGGUGAGGUAACGGCUCACCAAGGCGACGAUCAGUAGCUGGUCUGAGAGGAUGAUCAGCCACAUUGGGACUGAGACACGGCCCAAACUCCUACGGGAGGCAGCAGGUGGGGAAUAUUGGACAAUGGGCGCAAGCCUGAUCCAGCCAUGCCGCGUGAGUGAUGAAGGCCCUAGGGUUGUAAAGCUUCUUUUGUGCGGGAAGAUAAUGAC